AUGCAGGGUCUGAGGUUGGGAUGGGAACGCGACUCUUUGGGAGUCUACUACUGCCGCAGAGACGGUUGGACGACAGGAAUGGACAGAGCCCAACUCAAACUCGUCCUGCACGGACACCACAUUGCGAGGCCCAGUACGUUUUCGGUCGAGCUUCUCAUCGUGCCUGUCAUGAUUACCAAAGACCCUGUCUACACACACCACGACUGCGACGGAAUCUCCUCGAUCGGUGCCGUGCGCCGGGGCGGAUCUCCUCCGGUUUCCUGGCGCCGAGGGCAGAGCCAGCGCCGCGUCGCUGCCCGGCGGCGAUUGGCGUGGAUGACGGACGGUCCGGUCCGGUCCACACCAUACGCGCUAGCUGGGAAUUGA
This 366-nucleotide ribosomal RNA is filed under the name Triticum aestivum (bread wheat). Its description in RNAcentral is "partial small subunit ribosomal RNA". Lineage: Eukaryota; Viridiplantae; Streptophyta; Magnoliopsida; Poales; Poaceae. The record is from RNAcentral.